Molecule: ribosomal RNA, 253 nt
Filed under: uncultured bacterium
Lineage: Bacteria
Description: partial 16S ribosomal RNA
Rfam family: Bacterial small subunit ribosomal RNA
Source: RNAcentral
UACGUAGGGGGCAAGCGUUGUCCGGAUUUAUUGGGCGUAAAGAGCGUGUAGGCGGCCAGACAGGUCCGUUGUGAAAACUCGAGGCUCAACCUCGAGACGCCGAUGGAAACCGUCUGGCUAGAGUCCGGAAGAGGAGAGUGGAAUUCCUGGUGUAGCGGUGAAAUGCGCAGAUAUCAGGAAGAACACCCGUGGCUAAGGCGGCUCUCUGGGACGGUACUGACGCUGAGACGCGAAAGCGUGGGGAGCGAACAGG